Molecule: long non-coding RNA, 753 nt
Filed under: Chloebia gouldiae (Gouldian finch)
Lineage: Eukaryota; Metazoa; Chordata; Aves; Passeriformes; Passeridae
Description: Erythrura gouldiae (Gouldian finch) lncRNA (ENSEGOG00005011680.1)
Source: RNAcentral
GUGCACGCGCUCCUGGGAUGGGGGAAAACGGGAAUGGGGGUCAGGGAGGCAGCGGGGGGGCGUGGGGGCGAGGGUGGGCUCGGCGCCGGCGGCGCCGGGCUGGCAAAAAGUUCAGUUUGCACACUCAAAAUUGGGUUUACGCCUCUCGAAGUGCACCCCAAGCAACCAAAAUUGAGUUUAUGCCUCUCAAAUUCCACCCAAGCAACCAGAAUUGGGUUUACACCUCUCAAAGUCCAGCCCCAGCACCCAAAAUUGGGUUUGGGACACUCAAAAUGCACCCAAGCACCCAGAAUUGGGUUUGGGACACUCAAAUUCCACCCAAGCACCCAAAAUUGGGUUUGGGACACUCAAAAGUCCAGCCUAAGCACCCAAAAUUGGGUUUGGGACACUCAAAUUCCACCCAAGCACCCAGAAUUGGGUUUGGGACACUCAAAUUCCACCCAAGCACCCAAAAUUGAGUUUACACCUCCCAAAGUCCCAAACCAGGUACCCAAAAUUCCAUCUACACCCAAACUCAGCUCCCGGUGCCCAUUCCCAGUGCCAUUCCCAGUGCCCAUUCCCAGCGCCAUUCCCAGCGCCAUUCCCAGUGCCAUUCCCAGUGCCCAUUCCCAGUGCUCCCAGUGCCAUUCCUGGUGCCCAUUCCCAGUGCCAAUUCCCAGUGCCAUUCCCACCAUUCCCAGUGCCAUUCCCAGUGCCAUUCCCAGUGCCCAUUCCCAGUGCCCAUUCCCGGUGUGCAUUCCCAGUGCCAUUCCC